RNAcentral lists this long non-coding RNA (337 nucleotides) under Medicago truncatula (barrel medic). Its description in RNAcentral is "long non-coding RNA (MTRU_LNC001815)". Lineage: Eukaryota; Viridiplantae; Streptophyta; Magnoliopsida; Fabales; Fabaceae. The record is from RNAcentral.
UGAUGGCUCCUCCUUUUAUAUUGUGUUGUGCCGUUUUUUCUUUCUUUCUUUCCAAGUUACAUUGCUUCUUGUUUUUCUUUUCGGGUCAACACCCAUCAGGUUGUGUCAAAGGGUUAAAGCCCAAUUAUCUUGUUAAUGUCCAACACUCCCUUUAUUUCCAGUACACCUCUAUAGGUGUAGUACGCAUGUGUGGUCUUUCUUUCAUUUUUAUAUGGCAAUGUGGAUCAACUCAAAAAUAUAUACCACUAUGAUUCCUGGACUCACUUUUCCUCUUCACUUCACAAAAAGUAAACACUUAAAAAUUAGGGUUCCUAAAAUCGUGUCACGAAAUAGCCAU